AAGAAGUUGUACAGCAAACCCCCUAACCCUGGAUUUAAAAUCAAUUAAAAAAAAAAAAAGUUUUUAGACCCAGAUUUCAUAAAUUAAAUAAAACUGCGGGAGUUGAUUUAACUCUGAAAUUUCGUCAGGAAGUGGUUUGUUGUUACUUCCGCCGUAGUAACAGGAAGAAGAUGUCCCGACACGGCCGGACCGGAAGAGGGGAGUACGGCCUGCUGGAUGUUCUCUUGAGUCGGUACCGCAGCUCUAACACUGGCUUUGUCCCAACUCGGGGUCUGCACAUUUCAAGGACCCGCCCUUUGCGGUCUCACCCAAUGAGUGUACUUCGGUGCGCCCUGCAGGCCGCGUCAACUGUUGUUAAAUGGGACAGUCUACCCUUCGGAGCAUUUCCUGGGUGCGUCACCAGAUGUUCCCGCCUCUACUCGUACGUCACUAUUUAUGCAGCCCAGGUCUGUGAAAGUGACAAGAAGAGUAAAAUUUGACUGUCAGACCUGUUCGAGCUGCAGGAAUUCCUGAUUUCCUUUUUAAUCCUGCUCCAUGUGGAGGAAGAGGGGAAGUGGCUGGUUUAUGUCCGGCUGAGAGGACCGUGGAGAGUGACAUGGCAGCUGUGGAUGGAGUCAGAACUGCAGACCCAGUUGAUGGACGAUGUGGUGGACAGAGGACACUGGACCCCUAGACACCCUGCGUACCGACCCAGAUGAUGUCCCACUGACACCAUCCAGCCCAGCAGCACUGCAGGGACUUCUGCUCAGCCUGCUACUGUACAUCAUCUGUAACUGUUUUAAUAUUGUUUUUAAUAAUAGCUGUUUUUGUUAAUCGUGAAUAAUAAUCUGUAAAUGGUUAUUCAUGCUGUAAUUUUGUCAAUAGUUGAAAACAUUCAAUCAUUUGUUGUCCCUGAAAAGUAGCACUUGAUGCUGUUUUCUGUUAUAAAUUGUACUUAUACUGGAAUGGAUGAAUGGAAUAGACAAGGUGUAACAAUACAAUCAUUUUUUUUUUAUCAGACCUGAGGUCAGUAUGUUGGAUGUUUUCUCUGAAUCAGCUAUCAGACCUGAGUCCAACUGAAAGUCAUCGCCACUGUUUCUUGUAAAACAUGAGCACUAACCUUAACCUUAACUUGCCACCUGAUUGGAUCAAUAUACUGCUAUCUUAUUUAUGGUGACCCUGAAGUGCAAAACACAACAGCAAAUCAGAAAACAAAAUCACAAAUCAGAAAACACAACAACAUGACGUCCAUCUGUUGAACCGGAAGGACAUGGUUUACAUGUUUUCAAAAUAAGAGCACUGCCACUGAUGACUUAAGCGCCGCUAUUAAAGAAUAUUUUGAUGAAGAACAUG
Acanthopagrus latus (yellowfin seabream) is the source of this 1332-nucleotide long non-coding RNA. RefSeq lists it as uncharacterized. The transcript is spliced from 2 exons. The record is from RefSeq and is a predicted model, not a curated record. NCBI's taxonomy places the organism in Eukaryota, Metazoa, Chordata, Actinopteri, Spariformes, Sparidae.